AAUGUGCAUGGGAGUAGCUGCCGGGGCUUACAUUCUUACCUUAUUUGCUAUGAAGUAUAGACAACGUGUACUUGGUUUGAUACUUGUUUCACCUCUAUGCAAAGAACCAUCUUGGACUGAGUGGUUGUGCAACAAGGGUGGCAAAGGAAAUGUUGCUGAAGCGGUACUAUAGCAAGG
Molecule: long non-coding RNA, 177 nt
Organism: Arachis stenosperma
Lineage: Eukaryota; Viridiplantae; Streptophyta; Magnoliopsida; Fabales; Fabaceae
Exons: 3
Source: RefSeq, a predicted model, not a curated record